RNAcentral lists this ribosomal RNA (499 nucleotides) under uncultured bacterium. Its description in RNAcentral is "bacterial SSU rRNA". It matches the Rfam family "Bacterial small subunit ribosomal RNA", at positions 1 to 500 of the family's 1533-position model. The record is from RNAcentral.
CCCUUAGAGUUUGAUCCUGGCUCAGGAUGAACGCUGGCGGCGUGCUUAACACAUGCAAGUCGAACGAAGCAUUUAGAACAGAUUACUUCGGUUUGAAGUUCUUUAUGACUGAGUGGCGGACGGGUGAGUAACGCGUGGGUAACCUGCCUUGUACUGGGGGAUAGCAGCUGGAAACGGCUGGUAAUACCGCAUAAGCGCACAAUGUUGCAUGACAUGGUGUGAAAAACUCCGGUGGUAUAAGAUGGACCCGCGUCUGAUUAGCUAGUUGGUGAGAUAACAGCCCACCAAGGCGACGAUCAGUAGCCGACCUGAGAGGGUGACCGGCCACAUUGGGACUGAGACACGGCCCAGACUCCUACGGGAGGCAGCAGUGGGGAAUAUUGCACAAUGGAGGAAACUCUGAUGCAGCGACGCCGCGUGAGUGAAGAAGUAAUUCGUUAUGUAAAGCUCUAUCAGCAGGGAAGAUAGAGACGGUACCUAACUAAGAAGCUCCGGCUAA